Non-coding RNA from Schistosoma rodhaini, 78 nucleotides. NCBI's taxonomy places the organism in Eukaryota, Metazoa, Platyhelminthes, Trematoda, Strigeidida, Schistosomatidae. The record is from Rfam.
AGCUUUUUGAAUCCGUGCAGAGAUUUCGUCAGAUACCGACCCAUUAGGACUGAUCAGACUUUUAAGAUAAGUGAAGUU